Molecule: ribosomal RNA, 465 nt
Filed under: uncultured bacterium
Lineage: Bacteria
Description: partial 16S ribosomal RNA
Rfam family: Bacterial small subunit ribosomal RNA
Source: RNAcentral
ACGAACGCUGGCGGCGUGCUUCACACAUGCAAGUCGCACGGAAAGGCUCCAGCUUGCUGGAGUACUCGAGUGGCGAACGGGUGAGUAACACGUGGGUAAUCUGCCCUGCACUCUGGGAUAAGCCUGGGAAACUGGGUCUAAUACUGGAUAUGACCUUUCUCCUUAUGGGGUUUGGUGGAAAGUUUUUCGGUGUAGGAUGAGCCCGCGGCCUAUCAGCUUGUUGGUGGGGUGAUGGCCUACCAAGGCGACGACGGGUAGCCGGCCUGAGAGGGUGAUCGGCCACAUUGGGACUGAGAUACGGCCCAGACUCCUACGGGAGGCAGCAGUGGGGAAUAUUGCACAAUGGGCGGAAGCCUGAUGCAGCGACGCCGCGUGAGGGAUGACGGCCUUCGGGUUGUAAACCUCUUUCAGCAGGGACGAAGCGUAAGUGACGGUACCUGCAGAAGAAGCACCGGCUAACUAUGU